CUACGGGGUGCAGCAGUUAGGAAUAUUCUUCAAUGCGCGAAAGCGUGAAAGAUUGAGCCAGAGUGCUUUUCAAAUGAAAAGCUUUUGCCGAAUGUAAAAAGUUCGGCGAAUAAGGACUGGGUAAGACGAGUGCCAGCCGCCGCGGUAAUACUCGCGGUCCAAGUCGCAGCCAUUUUUAUUGGGUCUAAAACAUCCGUAGCUUGCUCGGUAAGUUUCCUGUGAAAUCCGGCAUCUCAAGUGUCGGGCGGGCGGGAAAUACUGCAGAGCUAGAGACUGGAAGACGUAACGAGUAUGUUCAAAGUAGCGGUAAAAUGUUUUAAUCUUGAGCAGACUAACAACAGCGAAGGCACGUUACGAGGACAGUUCUGACAGUAAGGGAUGAAGGCUAGGGGCGCAAAACGGAUUAGAUACCCGUGUAGUC
RNAcentral lists this ribosomal RNA (421 nucleotides) under uncultured archaeon. Its description in RNAcentral is "partial 16S ribosomal RNA". It matches the Rfam family "Archaeal small subunit ribosomal RNA", at positions 323 to 746 of the family's 1478-position model. The record is from RNAcentral.